GGGGAUAUAGCUCAGUGGUAUAGCAUUCGACUGCAGAUCGAGAGUUCCCGGUUCAAACCCGGGUGUUCUGUUCUUCA
Molecule: non-coding RNA, 77 nt
Organism: Trichonephila inaurata madagascariensis
Lineage: Eukaryota; Metazoa; Arthropoda; Arachnida; Araneae; Nephilidae
Source: the annotation of a GenBank genome assembly